GUUACCAGUCCACGAUGUUUAUAAUCCUUUCUUCAUGAAGUCCAAUCUUUUCAAGUUUUUUAUAUCAAAAACACUCAAAAACAACCCGGGAUCGCGUGGCAACAAAAGAAAGUUUCAAGCGCCACAGGUGAGUGAGUCAUGCUUUGGAAAUGACAAUAAAUUUUUAUUACCCAACACUUGAGUUGUUUUGUUUUUCAUUUACCCAACCUUA
This is a non-coding RNA of Paramuricea clavata, 211 nucleotides long. The record is from the annotation of a GenBank genome assembly. Lineage: Eukaryota; Metazoa; Cnidaria; Anthozoa; Malacalcyonacea; Plexauridae.